UUGACUAUGCUCAAUCCCUAGCAUAUCCAGGAAAUCACUAGCCACGGAUUCAGUAACGUAAUCCAUGCUGAGGGAUUUUCCCUUCUUAAGCUCUUUAUAGUUCUCUUUAGCGUCCAAGUAACCAUCAUUCUUUAUAACUUCAUUCUCAUGUUCCCGAGAGUAUAAUCCCUCGUUUUCCAAGUCAGAGAAACUGUUUAAUGCAGACUCCAAUUCUCUCAUAAUUAAUUCUUUUGCUGACUCAUCUGUCUCAAAAUUGUUGGCACUCACUGCAAGGUCUUCAUUCUCACUGUCAAGAACCUCGGCCAAUAGUACAGGCUGGGCCGCCUCUUCAAUGGGCAUCUUCAAGGUACUAUCAGGUACAAGUGUUUCUGUCACAGCAUCAUCAACAGAUUCCACAAAAUCGUCUUCUUUUCCCUCCAGUUCCUUCAAGGAAUGUUCUAUGCCUUGCUCUAUAACAGAAAAAUCACCAAUUUCACACUCAUUUUCAACAUUUCCCUUCACAGGAUCUAAUAACAAGGCCAAUUCUGGUUUGAGGUUAUCAACAGUAUGAGAAAACACAUCAAUCUCUGGUUUGAACUCAAAUGGAGCUUCCAACUUCGCUUCCUCAAACUUCUGAUACAGCACUUCUACAGAUUUGUAGAGGUCAGAACUCGGCAGCGG
Molecule: unclassified non-coding RNA, 660 nt
Filed under: Hevea brasiliensis (rubber tree)
Lineage: Eukaryota; Viridiplantae; Streptophyta; Magnoliopsida; Malpighiales; Euphorbiaceae
Source: RNAcentral